AGAGUAGGACAAAUGACCGCCGCCCCCGUACUCAGUUUAUGGGGCAACACAUCGCAUUAGAAAAUCCCGAAAGGGAUUCCAUAAACUGAGUGCGGGGGGAGAGGAAAGUCCGGGCUCCGCAGGACAGGAUGCUGGGUAACACCCAGUCUCGGCGACGAGAAGGAAAGUGCCACAGAAAACAAACCGCCCUGCACCCGGUUUAAAGGAAAUGAUCAGCCCUUAAAAAUGUUUUUAUUUAAUAACGACAUCGGAAUAGCGGUGAUUUCCCGACAAACUGGGUGCAGGGUAAGGGUGAAAAGGUGAGGUAAGAGCUCACCAGUCUCAUCGGUGACGAUGGGAGCUAGGUAAACCCCAUCCGGAGCAAGACCAAAUAGGGGAACGUUAAGGGUGGUCCGCCCGAGUUCCCGGGUAGGUCGCUUGAGCGCGUUGGUAACCUCGUGCCUACAUGAAUGGUCAUUAUCCUGUGGGGUGAUUUGAAUCACCCCAAAAGGGACACAGAACCCGGCUUAUGGCCUGCUCUAACA
RNAcentral lists this RNase P RNA (524 nucleotides) under Deltaproteobacteria bacterium. Its description in RNAcentral is "RNase P RNA component class A". It matches the Rfam family "Bacterial RNase P class A". Rfam says of the family: Ribonuclease P (RNase P) is a ubiquitous endoribonuclease, found in archaea, bacteria and eukarya as well as chloroplasts and mitochondria. Lineage: Bacteria; Pseudomonadati; Myxococcota; Myxococcia. The record is from RNAcentral.